This 7408-nucleotide unclassified non-coding RNA is filed under the name Leishmania donovani. RNAcentral describes it as "gene:LdHU3.14.1040(CDS-product:fatty_acid_elongas e_putative)". Lineage: Eukaryota; Euglenozoa; Kinetoplastea; Trypanosomatida; Trypanosomatidae. The record is from RNAcentral.
CUGUACAUGGUCAUGCAUGCACACACACGCGCACACACGCAACCAAACUGACGCUCAUCAGGUGGCAUCUGGCUUGUCCUGUUCUCCCUUCGUCUUUCUUCGGACUGACCCUCAGCCCUUCCCAUCUCUCUUGCCGUCAUUCUGCCUCUGUUUAGUGUGGAGGGGUUUCGAGUUCUUUCUCUUACGUUGCCGUUGUGGUGGUGUGUCUCGCUGGUGCACGCCCACACCCACCCACCACGGUCACAGCGCACGCUCGAACAUUGGCCUCUGCGCCCUUUUGGGGAGAGCAAAACACACCUACGCAAACCACACCCGUAACCACACACACGCACACACGUAUAUAUACAUAUAUAUAGCAACGUAGGCAGAAGGAAGUGCGGUCGAAAAACUCCUUUCUUUGUGUGUGUGUGUGUGUGUGUGUGUCUUUUAUUAUUUUUUUCGAGGGGUGGUUGUUGUUUCUUCUUUGGUUUUCGUUUUGCUGAAGGUCGUAGAGUCACGAAUCGUGCGAGUCGCGUAACGUUGUGAGCACCUGUAGCACAUCGCGCGCGUACAGCCUGUUUCCUGUUGACUACGCCCUCCCUCCCACUCUACCUCUUUGUGUUUAGUUCUUGGGUUUUCGUUUUUUAGAGGGGAGGUCUCCAUCGCGUUUUUCUUUGUUCGCUCAUUGAUUCCUUGCCGCCGCCUCCCCCCCCCCUCAGUCCAUCCCUCCUCCUCGUUGUUGUCUGCCAGUUUGGUCGCAUUCAAGGGUUAAGGGAUCGUCUCACGCACUUUUUCUUGUUCUUCGUAGGUCCUCACCUCCCCUCUCGCUCGCUUGCACAGAUACGCACGCGCCCUUUUCCCCCUGCGACACCAUAAGUUUUGCCCUCCUCCUCCGUCGUCAUAUAUGGACCCUGGAGGGAAGGCUCUACUCUAGCUUUCCUCUCUCCUGUGUGUGUUCGUGUGUGUGUGUGUGUGUUUCGGCGUCCGAGUGAACACGUCGAGGCGUCGGCGAGUCGAGCCUGAGCUGCACAGAGCACCGGUAGAGCAGUCAGCAGCGGUAAACCCGCGGUCGCGCCCUCCCACCUUCCUCUCUGCGCCACAAGAGCACUGGUGAAUCACACCAGCACACACACCCACAGGCAUAUGCAUAUGUAUAGACACGGAUAUCUUAUACACACAUCGACUCCAUAGUCUCCCAAAAAGAUGGUGCGCGCGGUGCUGCAGGCGAUGUUGAACAUCGGUGGUCUGCCGAGCCAAUUCGUCGGCGAUAUCGCAGAGACCUUCUUUGAUGAAUACUUCGACAUCCUCGUCUACAGUGAAGUGCUGUACGUGCUCAUAGUCUUCCUCGGCCCCAGGGCGAUGGAGAGUCGCGAGCCGUAUCGGCUGAAGUACCUCAUUGCCGCGUGGAACCUAGCGCUCUCCUUUCUUUCCUUGUGUGGCACUAUCGGCGUUAGCAUCAUGCUCAUGCACUCGCUAGAGGAACGUGGCAUGUACGAGACGACCUGCUACCUCGACAAGAACCUCUACGACGGCGAGCUCACCUUCUGGCUCUUCGCGUUUCUGCUCAGCAAGAUCCCAGAGAUGCUUGACACGGUCUUCCUCGUUCUCACGAAGAAGCCUAUCAUCUUCUUGCACUGGUACCACCACCUCACGGUGACGGUCUUCUGCUGGUACGCUGGCUACACGCUUAUUGCCAGCGGCGUAUGGUUCGCCAGCAUGAACUACGCCGUGCACACUGUCAUGUACUUCUACUACUUCCUGUGCUCUCUGGGCAUGCGCAAGUUCAUUCGGCCGAUCGCGCCGUUCAUUACGGGGGCGCAGCUGCUGCAGAUGGUCGUGGGCACGAUCAUUGUUCUCUACACCUUCUACUACAGCUACAUCAGCGAGCGCGGCUGCGGCGUUGACCACCGCACGAUCCGCAUGGGGCUGUGCAUGUACGGCAGCUACUUUGUGCUCUUCGCGACGCUUUUUGUUCACCUUUACAUGAAGAAGGGCGCGGCGACAAAGUCCCGGAAGACGGAGACGGCGGCAGCGGCAGCGGCAGCUCAUCAAAACGGGAAGCCCGUCGAUGGUGCCAAGAACGGUUGCAGCGCUGCGGCCAUGAAAAAGCAGUGAGCGAGGGGUAACCGACAACCACGGAAAGGCAGCUGGAAAAAAAUGGCCGCUGCCUUCUCCUCUCCCACCCACUCCUGGUUCGCGCGCUUUCUCCUCGUGUUUGCUGCCGUCGUGGGCAAGGGGCAUCACGGGGCAAAGGGAAUCUGGAAGACGGGAAACAGAGGAAAGGGGGCAAGAGGCUCGCACUCACAUGCUCAAACUCAUCAGCAGGCGUAUACACACGCAGAGACAGACAGACAAAGUGAGUCGCGCCCAUGCGCAGCACGGGAAGGGCGAGGAGCGGCCGUCUUCUUUUUUUUUUUCACCUUUCCUCCCCUCUCUUUGGCGCUGGUGAUCGAAGUGGCCCUCACGACAGUGUGCGCCUGCGCUGUAAUGUGUUGUCUUGAUCUUCUUCUUGUUUGCUUCUUUUCCGAUGGAAAGCUUCACAGCGGAGGAGGUAAGUGCGCUGGCGAGAAGCAGUAACGCGCCACACGCAGUGCUUCGCGUCCGCUUGUGUGUCUGUGAAUGUGUACAUGCGUACUAGGGGUGGUGAUAAGUGCGCCAAAGACAGGUGAGUAGUGAUAUACCUCGCCUCUCGUCUUCUCCUUCGCGGCUAAUAAGGGAAAUCAGCUCCACACUCACGGGAAGAGGAAGACAAUUUCGGAUAGUCGUAAAGAUACACCUUCAGCAUUAGCCCAGACACAGACACACGCCGCAUCGUGUGCACCACGCUGGGGCUCCUCACCCACGCUCGGCGCGAUCCUGGCAGAGUUGUAAUCCAAAAAAAAAACGAAAAAAAAAAUGAAAACGAAAUACUCGCGCCCACCGGUGCAUGAACUCGUUGUCCUACAUAAAAUACGCCUCCGCUCUGUCGGUCGCUGAGCUUUAUGAGGUCUGCAUGCCCUUUCGAUCAGGACGGCAUCCCAGCAGUCUCUUCGGCGGAUCCCACAUUGGGAAGACUCCGAUCAGCCGAGUUGCUGCACCCCCAACGCCACCAUCAAACACAUCUCUCGCGAACUGACGUAGAUCUUCCCGGCGCGUGCAUGACGCAGCUCGAAAAGGACAACACAGUAUGCGCCUGCCAGAGCCGCUUUCAUGGCUUUUCGGCCUGAGGAGGAUGAAAGGAGGAAGGGAGGCAGCUCCUCCUCUGGGAGCGGGAUGAAGGCGCCUAGGGAGUCCCCGUCUCACAUCGCCUACGACGAACUCCGCACCUCGGAGCUCCAGCACCUUGAAGAGAACGUGAGGAAGCUCAUCAGCGUCUCUUCGGCGGCGUGCAGAGAAGCUGGCCAGCGAGGUUGUGCCCGUUCAGGAAUUCCGCUCUGUCUUGGAAGAGGUGUGAGUUUGAGAUGGCCGACUCGCGUGUACCCCCACAGCAGCCCCAGUGAUUGCCUUCCCGCCUCGAAUACGCGCCAUCUUGCUUCCGUGCAGGUUACCCGACUCUCACAGCCUGAAGAGGAGGAGGGGCCAUCCUGCACGUCCUACAAGCCGUGCCCGAAACCAGCUUAUGGACGCCUACCAGUGGCCAAAGAAGAGCGGAGGGAGCCCCGUUGCACGCGGCACAGGGGAAGGCGAUGCACCUUGUCGAUCUGUGUGGCGAGAUGAGAAGCGAGAACCAGCAACGGAUGCGGUGCAUGGAAAGUACCCCCGACCAGUGCCCCCGCGCGUUCCCAGAAAGCGUCACUCCUCCGCCGCCGGUGACAGACGCGGAUGUCGAGGCCCCUCCCCUCAGUGGCAGCAAUCGUUAUGGUGUGCCCAGCGCAGCAGCGACCCCUCUCCUUGAAUGGGCCCCCACCGUCGUGGAAGAGAAGAAAGGACGUAUCGGACGGCGGCGCCCUCAUUCUCUGGCCGCGACAAGUCAACAGCUGGCCAGAUGAGCAGCGUUACAACGCGGAGGUGGGUCUGGAUGUGCAGCCACGGGAGAACUCGUGCUCCACGACUGUGUGCGUGUGGGAGGGGGGGGUGACAGAUCUGGAAAGGUCAUCUUUUUCAAGUGCUUCUUUCCGUGCAUCUGCGGCCGCUCUUGAGCCUGUGAACCAGGGACCGCUCCGCGCAUCAGCGAAGAGCGCACCCGAAUGAGCUUGGCUGUUGGCCCAGAGGAUGACGUGGGUGGCAACAGCAACAUCGGCCUGCCAUCCUAUGUGUGCCGCGCGACCCGCCUCUGACAUUCACGUGAAGGUCUGCAUCGACAGCAUCCAACGAACGGGUGGUCGACAGGCGGUGGAGACAGCUCUGCAGGCGCCCCGAAUCGCCGCGGAAAAGCUUAGCGCCACCUCGAAUGACGACGAGACCGGCACCUGCAACAUGUCUGCGUUGGCUGGCGUGGCGCUUGACCACAACUUGGGAACGGUCUGCGGUGGAAAACAGACGUGCACCCAGCUGAGCACCGAUUCGUUCAAGCAGCUGACAAGGAGGAAGAGCUGGGACGGCUCAUGGGUCGGCUUUGGUGUGCCGCCCGAGUCGUGCACAUGCCCCCUCACAAAUUUUGUCUUUUCCUCGCGGCGACGCGCCGGCUCUGCUCGAAAACGGUCACGAGGCCUCCACUGCGGUUCCUCGUGGGCGGAUCUGCCUCAGAGCGCCCAAAGCGAACUCCGCCUGUGGCGCCAACGGGCAGCACCGAAUAUAAACCACGUCGCGCCGCACGUCUUUCGGCGUCUGCCGCAGAGCACGGCCUUCACAUAGGCUGCAACCCCAGGAGGACGGUGAGGGGGAGGGUGCGCGGUACGCAUGCAUCCGCGUACGAAGCAGAUGGUCGUCACCCGUAGCCGUUAGCGGGCGCCAGGCGCAAAUAGCAUCUACUCGGCUGGACUCUGCGCGGCUCACUGUGUCUCUUCGGGGAUUCACGCCAUUUGCAAGACGACAAGCCGCAGGGCAUCUAUAAAUCGGCAGCGCGUCAGCCCUCUCCGCCCUGCGUAAAGGCUGCGCACGCGGUCAUGCGCUUUAUGCAUGGGGAUGACUGAUCUCCCAUACGCUUUCACGGCUCAAUACAGCAAGUCGGCCGCUAAUCCUACAGACAGCCCUACCCGCAACCCCGCAUACCACGCGUGACGGGGUCUACGUAGCAACAUGGCGAAGGACACGACGUGAUGGAUAAGGGCGGGAGCGAGGGGGUAGACCCUGCACUGCCCGUAGAGGUCAAAAAAACGGCAAGCGGCAAUUCCGAAAGAGCGGAAUGCAGAGGUCAGCCUUCCCCCCCCCUUGCACCCUCUACCUGGCAACGUCCGACACGUUUGGCGGCACCGUCUAUGGCAGGCUAGCAAAAAAAAAUGGGGAAUGGGGAACCCCCUCGCGUCUACAAAUCGCCUUCGCCACUCGUCCAGCGCUUUUUUCUAUGAUUGCAGGCAAAUCUUCGGUAGGAAAUAUGGACACUUUUUUAUGUAUGGGUGGGUGGGGGGCGGGAAUGGCGCGACGUCAGCACAUCUCCCUCUCUUACCUCCCUCAUCCCUCAUCCCUCCCCUGCGUGAAUUUAUCUCUCUGUUUUGCCCUCUUGUUCGCACGCAUCACGGUAAGUAAUUUCUCUUCGUCCGCUCGCAUCGCUCUCCUCACGUCUUCGAUGCAGUGAGCUGGUGAUUCUAUGCGUGCUCUUUGAGAAUCCGUUCUUCCUCAUCACUUUUUUUUUCUUUGGGGGGGGGUGAGGGGUUCUUGUUUGUUUUUCGAAUGCGUUUGUGUGCAUGCGCAUGUCCUCGGCCGCUGAUUCUUUCUCUAACUCUCUCCCACAUACCCACACCCACACACCUUCCUCAGUCUCCCUACCUCCCUCUUUUUUGUUUGUUUGUUUUUGCUUCUCAGUUUUAAUCAUAAGUGUUCGCAUUCUUAUCUUGUUGGUUGUUGUUUGCCUUGUGUCCAUGAAUGCGUGUGCUCGAGUGCUUCUCAGCGUAUGUGGGUGAUUGUAGAAGUGUGUGUGUGUGCGUGUGUGUGUGCUUUUAUGAGCGUGUGUGUAGGGGCGUCGUGGCAGUGGCCUCUCUCGCCGCGGCGCUGAGCCUGUGCAGUCGAACGAAAAGCAGUGGCACAGCUGGAAGAGUGGCUGUCCAUUGGUAGCCAGGCGUACACAGAGAGACCGACCAAACGUCGCAACCCACACGCCGCUCAUGCGCGGCCCCCUCUUUUUGUAGAGGCAACAACAACAGCAACAAAAAAGAUGGGAGGAAAAGAAGUCGCCUUCCGGCGCGUGCCCAAUGGGAUGCGCCCUCCAAACGUCCAGCAGUCCCCCCCCCAUCGCGCCCUUUAGAGUGCAUGUGUGUGUGUGUGUGUGUGUUUCCUCGUUCCGUGACUCAGGUCGGCGGUUCACGGUGCACUCAUACGCGCUGCCGUCUUGCUUUCGCCCUCCUCACCACACUCGUCCUCGCGUCUCUGUUUCGGAUUGUUCGUUGCACGUUGUCGGCAAGUCUCCCCACCCCCCUCCCCCUCCCGCUGUCUGUCUGCGUGUGUUCUUUCUCUUUGCUGCGUGAUCAGCCAUGUGUGUGCGUACGCGCAUGUAUGUACAUGUAUACGGGUGGCUUGUUUUACUUCGAUUGUUUUCCCACUUGUGUUUGUUUUCGCGCUCUUGUUCCUUUCUCUUUCUCUUUUCCCUCAUGCUCUCUGGGUGCGAGUGCGUGCGUGCGUGAGCGGCGACGAUGGACAUGUCGAAGGCAAUGCCGCAGCUUCAUCAUGAAAGCAUAUGUACCGAUUCGUGGGCGCGUGCCGGCGUGUGGGGUGUGGGUGUCCGUUGGGAGGCAUCUGUGGCUCCUACCCUCACAAGCGGAGAAGUGAGAAGGGGGAGCACAAAGGACUCCUGCGCGAAUGCCCGUUCCCAUACCUCCACUUGCGCAGCUGCCCGAGCCUGCACUCUUUCUCCCGCUCGAGCCUUAUUUUUCGUUGUUGUUGGUGGCUUUUGGUUAAUGAGAUGGCCGCCUGUGGCCUGUCCCUCAAGGCUAUGUCGAGUGCGGUGUGCGGGCUUAUGGAAUCUCUGUUUAGUCGGCAGCGCCGCCGCCAAGAACGACAGUCUUCCAUAGCGUUGCCGGUCGUGGCCGCCACUUUUUUCUUUGUUUUACCUGCUGCGGAACUGACGAGGGUGGAGAGAAAAUGGGUGACGCUUCGCGGUGGCGAGAUGAUGAAACGCAGAAGCAGAGGAGGAAAAAGCGAACACUCAAUCUAACAUCUGCGUGCGUUUAUGGAUGCGUGUGCGUGUGUGUGUGUGUGUGUGUGUAUGUGUGCGUGUGCAGUGCAGUGCAAAAAGUGGGCGGUAAACGACCCUCUAACAACGAAAAAAAAAAAUUAACCGAAAACAAAAACGAAACGAAAAAUGUGGCAUCAAAGUCGGCGCCGCUGCGAAAAGUGCUUGCGUGACUUCACUGCAAAC